UACGAAGGGGGCUAGCGUUGCUCGGAAUCACUGGGCGUAAAGGGUGCGUAGGCGGGUCUUUAAGUCAGGGGUGAAAUCCUGGAGCUCAACUCCAGAACUGCCUUUGAUACUGCAGAUCUUGAGUUCGGGAGAGGUGAGUGGAACUGCGAGUGUAGAGGUGAAAUUCGUAGAUAUUCGCAAGAACACCAGUGGCGAAGGCGGCUCUCUGGCCCGAUACUGACGCUGGGGCACGAAAGCGUGGGGAGCAAACAGG
This 253-nucleotide ribosomal RNA is filed under the name uncultured bacterium. RNAcentral's name for it is "partial 16S ribosomal RNA". It matches the Rfam family "Bacterial small subunit ribosomal RNA", at positions 524 to 776 of the family's 1533-position model. The record is from RNAcentral.